AGUUUCCUCUAAAGUCACUUUUACUCUUUUUGAUAAAAAAAAAUGGAUGAAAUAGGGAUGGUUCAUAAAAAUAGACUAAUAUGAAAGUUGUAACUAUGUAUAAUGUAAAAUAUGUAGAACAUAAAAGAUUCAAAUUUACCACAGAUAAGAAGAAAAACGAAAGCAUCACAGUGUGCAUUACGGAAGCUGGCCCAAAAAAAACACCCACACAAACAUCACGUCACUCAAGUCACUGACUACAUUUCUGAAAUGUGAAAUGAAAUGAAAACAUUCUUCCGGAAAUCACCUUACAGAGUGAUCCAGCUUAGAUUCUUCAUUUAAAGAUUCCCCGAAUUAGUAAUAAUUUCACAUGGAGACCAAACUUCCAACGGAAAUCAGUUCUUUUGAAAAAGGCUAAAGACUGGAACAAGGUUUAGGAGUAGAAAAGCCGUGUACGACAAUGGGCUGUGUAGUGAACAAGUUUAUUCGUUUGUGCUCUCCUUCAGCUGAACAGGUAACUACAGUAUGUUGCUUUUUUACUCAUUACAAUUGUUACGUCCAAGGAAGUAUGUUUUUUGUGUUUUUCGCUUUUCGUCCAGUUUCCUUUCUCUACUUCUCACAAGCAGGAAGUAAUAUGUAUGGGCGCGCGUGUGUGUGUGUGUGUGUGUGUGUGUGUGUGUUUGUGUGUCCUCAACCUAAAAAGCGUUGAUUGAAUUUCUCUCAAUGUGUUAUUGGGUUAGUUGUCUUGUUGUACAGGUUUCUUAUUAUCAGAGAAAUUAUUAUUUCUUUAGCUAUUAAGUUUACAUUGUUAAUUCUUUGGGAAGGGAUUUGUAGAGAGGUGGGUGCCAUUUUCGUUCGCAUGUUUUCUCUUGUUUAAGCCAGUUAGGGAGUUAGUUUAGUAUUGUAAAUUUUGUCUUCUUUUGUAGUUUAGUUAGUUUCUUUUUAGUAGUUAGAGGGUUUAGGUUUGUUAUUUUGGCCUUGCCCCCUCUUAAAGCCUUUAAAUCCUCCCACAUUUGUACAAUAAAAGGAACUUGUUUGAUAUUGAGUUGCGAGAGAGAGAGAGAGAGAGAGAGAGAGAGAGAGAUACUGGGAAAGGAGAGAGAGAGACAGAGAGAGACAGACACUGGGAAAGGAGAGGGGGGAGAGAGAGAGAGAGAGAGAGAGAGAGAGAGAGAGAGAGAGAGAUUUUUGAUUUUGAAAAAGACCUUUAUUUCGAUUGCUCAGUUUCAAACAUGUCCGAUAAAAGGUUUAACUUAACUUAAUGCAGGAAAAGAAAUAAAUAAAUAAAAUGAAAAAUAAAAUAGAUAAAUAGAAUAGCUUUAAAAGAGAGAGAGAGAGAGAGAGAGAGAGAGAGAGAGAGAGAGAGAGAGA
Molecule: long non-coding RNA, 1350 nt
Organism: Tachysurus fulvidraco (yellow catfish)
Lineage: Eukaryota; Metazoa; Chordata; Actinopteri; Siluriformes; Bagridae
Exons: 3
Source: RefSeq, a predicted model, not a curated record